Molecule: ribosomal RNA, 434 nt
Filed under: uncultured bacterium
Lineage: Bacteria
Description: partial 16S ribosomal RNA
Rfam family: Bacterial small subunit ribosomal RNA
Source: RNAcentral
AGCGAACGCUGGCGGCAGGCCUAACACAUGCAAGUCGAACGAACCUUUCGGGGUUAGUGGCGGACGGGUGAGUAACACGUGGGAACGUGCCUUUAGGUUCGGAAUAACUCAGGGAAACUUGUGCUAAUACCGAAUGUGCCCUUCGGGGGAAAGAUUUAUCGCCUUUAGAGCGGCCCGCGUCUGAUUAGCUAGUUGGUUGAGGUAAUGGCUCACCAAGGCGACGAUCAGUAGCUGGUCUGAGAGGAUGAUCAGCCACAUUGGGACUGAGACACGGCCCAAACUCCUACGGGAGUCAGCAGUGGGGAAUCUUGCGCAAUGGGCGAAAGCCUGACGCAGCCAUGCCGCGUGAAUGAUGAAGGUCUUAGGAUUGUAAAAUUCUUUCACCGGGGACGAUAAUGACGGUACCCGGAGAAGAAGCCCCGGCUAACUUCGUG